UACGGAGGGGGCAAGCGUUAUUCGGAAUUAUUGGGCGUAAAGGGCGCGUAGGCGGCUAGAUGUGUCAAAGGUGAAAUCCCUCGGCUCAACUGAGGAACUGCCUUUGAAACUGUCUGGCUUGAGGCCGGGAGAGGGUAGCGGAAUUCCCAGUGUAGCGGUGAAAUGCGUAGAUAUUGGGAGGAACACCAGUGGCGAAGGCGGCUCACUGGACCGGUACUGACGCUGAGGCGCGAAAGCGUGGGGAGCAAACGGG
This 253-nucleotide ribosomal RNA is filed under the name uncultured bacterium. Its description in RNAcentral is "partial 16S ribosomal RNA". It matches the Rfam family "Bacterial small subunit ribosomal RNA", at positions 524 to 776 of the family's 1533-position model. The record is from RNAcentral.